UGAAUAUUCUGGAAUAUUUUUUCCUGGGAAUUACAGUGAUUUUUCCUGGCAUUUACAGUGAUUUUUCCCCCAGAUUUACACAGUUUUAUUUUUGGGAUCCAGCCCUUUUCCUGCAGUUAUUUUAUUAGGAUCCCACUGUUUCCCACAGGUUUGGGGUUUUUUUUGGGAUCCAGCAUUUCCUGCAGAUUUUUGGGGCAGAUCCAACCCUUUCCCAUUAUUUGGUUUUUUGGGGUUUUUUGGGAUCCAACCCUUUCCCAUUGUUUGAUUUUUUGGGGUUUUUUUGGGAUCCAACUCUUUCCCAUUGUUUGGUUUUUUUGGGAUCCAACCUUUUCCCAUUGUUUGAUUUUUUGGGGUUUUUUUGGGAUCCAACCUUUUCCCUCAGGUCUUUCCUUGGGAUCCAACCCUUUCCUGCAGCUUUUUGGGGCAGAUCCUUUCCCAUUGUUUGGUUUUUUGGGGUUUUUUUGGAAUCCAACUCUUUCCCACAGGUUUUUUUUAGGAUCCAACCCUUUCCCUCAGGUGUUUUCUUGUUUUCUUGGGAUCCAACCCUUUCCCAGUGUUUUUUUUUGGGAUCCAACCCUUUCCCAGCGUUUUUUUGGGGCAGAUCCAACCCUUUCCCAUUGUUUGGUUUUUUGGGGUUUUUUUUGGGAUCCAACCCUUUCCCGUUGUUUGGGUUUUUUGGGAUCCAACCCUUUCCCUCAGGUUUUUUUUUGGGAUCCAACCCUUUCCUGCACCUUUUUUUGGGAUCCAAUCCUUUCCCAUUGUUUGGUUUUUUGGGGUUUUUUUGGGAUCCAACCCUUUCCCAUUGUUUGGUUUUUUGGGGUUUUUUUGGGAUCCAACCUUUUCCCACAGCAUUUUUUUGGGAUCCAAUCCUUUCCCUCACGUUUUUUUUUUGG
RNAcentral lists this long non-coding RNA (893 nucleotides) under Zonotrichia albicollis (white-throated sparrow). RNAcentral describes it as "lncRNA (ENSZALG00000008192.1)". The record is from RNAcentral. Lineage: Eukaryota; Metazoa; Chordata; Aves; Passeriformes; Passerellidae.